GACGAACGCUGGCGGCGUGCUUAACACAUGCAAGUCGAACGGAAAGGCCCUGCUUUUGUGGGGUGCUCGAGUGGCGAACGGGUGAGUAACACGUGAGUAACCUGCCCUUGACUUUGGGAUAACUUCAGGAAACUGGGGCUAAUACCGGAUAGGAGCUCCUGCUGCAUGGUGGGGGUUGGAAAGUUUCGGCGGUUGGGGAUGGACUCGCGGCUUAUCAGCUUGUUGGUGGGGUAGUGGCUUACCAAGGCUUUGACGGGUAGCCGGCCUGAGAGGGUGACCGGCCACAUUGGGACUGAGAUACGGCCCAGACUCCUACGGGAGGCAGCAGUGGGGAAUAUUGCACAAUGGGCGGAAGCCUGAUGCAGCAACGCCGCGUGCGGGAUGACGGCCUUCGGGUUGUAAACCGCUUUCGCCUGAGACGAAGCGUGAGUGACGGUAAUGGGUAAAGAGGCACCGGCUAACUACGUG
Molecule: ribosomal RNA, 468 nt
Filed under: uncultured bacterium
Lineage: Bacteria
Description: partial 16S ribosomal RNA
Rfam family: Bacterial small subunit ribosomal RNA
Source: RNAcentral